CCCUUUAGACUCUCUCUCGUCACUCUCCCUCCCCCUCCCUUUUUCUUUCGACUGGUGAGCCUCCAGCCAUCAUGGCUGGCCGGUGAGGCGUCCACCCACCCUAGGAGACACCGGCGAACUGCGAGCUAGCCGGAGCAGCGCCGGCAGUUGCGCAAAUGGAGGAGUUUUCCCCAUCAAUGCGCGCAUAGUGGGCAGCAACUUUCCAAUGCGAUUCCGGUUUCAUCUAACGUCCAAUCGAGGUGAUUCAGGUGGCGUUGGAAAGCUUGUUCCGAGAGUUUUCUUUUGAUACCAAUCUUGCAACAAAUGGAGGUCGGAUGAGUGAGAUAUGGAGGAGAAAAGUUUCGGGUUUUUUAAGCUUUUGUGUCAGAUCUAGGACGAUCCAAACGUUGGAUUGACAAUCCGAGACCACCUAUGGACUGAGGGAGAGGAGAGGAAUAUAAUGGUAUGAUCAGAUCCGGCAGAUGUCGCAGGCGACCGGCGGCCGGCCACUGUGCGCGGUGAUUCCGGGGGUGACUCCGGUGAGCUUUGGAGAUGAUUCAAUUUCGAGAGACUUCCUCAUAAAUUUUUAGAAUUUUUGAGACACAGAUAAGCUUCGGGCAGUAUUAUUUUCAUUAUUUCUCUGUUUGUGGAGCAUAAAUGUAGUGUUUCUUAAAUAGGAAAAAUUAGAGAAAAAUUCUAAGAAAAAUAUAUGAUGAAAGUAAAAUUAUUUAGAGAUAUAAUAUGGUGCUUGUUGAAUUUUUGAGUGAUUAUAGAAUAUUUUUGAAAAAUAUAGAUGGAUUUUAGUUAGAUUUUUAGCAUAUAGGCAUAUAAGAUUAUUUGAAAUUAUGAUAUUUAAAUUUUAUAUGAUUGAUUGAAGCUUGAGGAUGGAGGUUUAAAUAUGUGAAUAUUGAAUUGGGUUGAAUUAAGAAUAUGUUAGCUGUUGAAAACUUAUGGAAUUGAGUAAUAUUCUUGAAUAAAAUAUUCAUGGGUGAUUAAAAAAUUACAAUCACUUUUGCGAUAGCUUUAUAACUUUAUUAAGGACCGCGGGGCGAAAUUUUAGAAUUUUUAGAGCUUGUUUGAGUGAAUUUUUAUAAACUGUCAAUUAUAGAGACUAAAACGUAAUUUUUAAGAUUUUGAGUAUUGCUUAGUUUGGAGGGCUCAGGAGGGGCCAUAUAAUGAUGAUGAGAUAUGGGUUGAGUUUAGAAGUGCUAUUUGAAUUAUUUUUUGCAGGUUGGCUAGAUCCCAGGUAUAGGAAAAAUUGUGCCAGAUUUCCGGCAUGAAUUAAGUUGUCUGUUGUCUCUUUAGAGUUUUAUUUUGGCUUAGUGCUAAUAAAUUUAUAAUAUAAUUAUUUAGGUGAUCGAUGUCAGCUAUUUUUCUCCAUCCAGCAGCCACAAUAAUCCUCGGUGUAUUGCUACAGGAGGAGUUCUUUUACAUAGCAACCUGCUUUCUUCCUUGCAGGUUUAACGUCGGUUAUUUAAUUAUUUUUAUUAUUUUUUCUAAAUUUGAAAUCUAGAACUCCACAUGUGUUAGCAGUAGUAUAGACCCUAUUAGGAAUUGUGUUAAUUUAAAUUCUUGAGGUUAAUAAAUAAAUAUUUGUAUGAUACUUGAACAAUUUGUAAAUGAUGUAACCGGGUUGAGCUAGGCUCCCCUAAUUUAAGUUUCUGAUAAUUAUUGGGUUAAGUUGAUCCGGAAUAAAAUUAUAAUAUUUUAAUUUAAA
Long non-coding RNA from Hevea brasiliensis (rubber tree), 1696 nucleotides. RefSeq lists it as uncharacterized. NCBI's taxonomy places the organism in Eukaryota, Viridiplantae, Streptophyta, Magnoliopsida, Malpighiales, Euphorbiaceae. The transcript has 2 exons. The record is from RefSeq and is a predicted model, not a curated record.